GCCGCGGUGGCACAACCUGGUACUGCGCAGGACUGGAAAUCCUGUUUCCUUCGGGAUAUCCCGGUUCGAAUCCGGGCCGCGGCG
RNAcentral lists this transfer RNA (84 nucleotides) under Candidatus Woesearchaeota archaeon. RNAcentral describes it as "tRNA-Ser". It matches the Rfam family "tRNA". Rfam says of the family: Transfer RNA (tRNA) molecules are approximately 80 nucleotides in length. Their secondary structure includes four short double-helical elements and three loops (D, anti-codon, and T loops). Lineage: Archaea; Nanobdellati; Candidatus Woesearchaeota. The record is from RNAcentral.